This 353-nucleotide long non-coding RNA is filed under the name Glycine max (soybean). RNAcentral describes it as "long non-coding RNA (GMAX_LNC002447)". The record is from RNAcentral. Lineage: Eukaryota; Viridiplantae; Streptophyta; Magnoliopsida; Fabales; Fabaceae.
GCCCAGGAGAAGGUGAUCUGUGUCGACGCCCAGGGGAAGGUGAUCUACGUCGGCGCACUGGAGAAGGUGAUCUACGCCGACGCACUGGAGAAGGUGAUCUACGUCGUCGCACAGGAGAAGGUGAUCUACGUCGUCGCACAGGAGAAGGCGAUCUACGUCGUCGCACAGGAGAAGGCGAUCUACGUCGUCGCACAGGAGAAGGCGAUCUACGUCGUCGCACAGGAGAAGGCGAUCUAUGUCGUCGAACAGGAGAAGGUGAUCUACGUCGUCGAAAAGAUGGUGAUCUACGAUGGACUGGAGAAUGCAUUCUGCGUCGUUCAGGAGAAGGAGAUCUAGAUCUUCUUGAAUAAGGU